AGAUCAGUGGGAAUUUCAACAGCUGCAUUUGCCCUUGCUAUUCUUGAGGGAAGCACAAAACCUGGUGUCUGGUUUCCUGAAGAGCCUGAAGGAAUUGCAGUUGAAGCAAGGGAAGUUCUUCUCCAAAGAGCUUCGCAGGGAACUAUAAACUUCAUAAUCAACAAGGCUCCAUGGAUGGUAGAAACAAAUCCUAAAGAACUCGGAUUUGGAAUUUAUUCAUAAUUUCAGUAUACAGAUUUUACAGAUCAAGCGUUGGGCGUGGAGCCAAAAAAGCAACCUCAACCUGAAGAUUAAAAAGAUUACAUUGUCUUAUACAUUGAAAAUGCAGAUAAAACAAUGAGAUCUCAUUUCAUUGUCUACCUUUCCUUUUCUUUCCCCUAAUUAUCUUCUUUUACAUAGCUGGAGUACAAUUCUAUUAGAGAAGUCUGCUGUAUAACAAUGUUAAGACACAUUUGAUAAUUGUACAUAUUAAGCAGUUCCUUGUUGAUGCA
Nicotiana attenuata is the source of this 491-nucleotide long non-coding RNA. RefSeq lists it as uncharacterized. Lineage: Eukaryota; Viridiplantae; Streptophyta; Magnoliopsida; Solanales; Solanaceae. The transcript is spliced from 4 exons. The record is from RefSeq and is a predicted model, not a curated record.